Cephus cinctus (wheat stem sawfly) is the source of this 1078-nucleotide long non-coding RNA. RefSeq lists it as uncharacterized. The transcript has 4 exons. Lineage: Eukaryota; Metazoa; Arthropoda; Insecta; Hymenoptera; Cephidae. The record is from RefSeq and is a predicted model, not a curated record.
GUAACUGUACGUACUUGUUGUUGCUAGAGCGGGAGACAGAUGGCGAAGGAUAAUGUGUACCAUAGCUGAACCUUUUUCCCUCUCGAGCGCCAUUAACUGCACUUCGAGCGGAACUAUGUGGAAGCUUCAUAGAAGAGCGUGCACUCAGUUGAUAUUUCUCAUGUCGCAGUGAACAUGUCACGGGGCAGUGAGUGGCCGUGUUGUAGCGUUGCAUAAAUAUUCGACUGACUUUAGGUUAAUGGUGAAACUUUAUACGAUGUUUAUAAUAUAUUGUACGUAGUAUAUGUAUAAUUUUAUCUUCUUAUAAGUGCCUAAAGUGUCGAGAAGAAUACGAAUUUAAGGCUAGUUCGUCAGGAUAUGAAAAUAGUCAUUCUUUGAAAACGGUUAUUUAACAUUAGUCACUGUAUCAAAAUAGUGCAGUGCGAUGAUCACGAUGCCUUUUCUCACCGGGAUGAUACACUCGACGAGAAAAGUUUUCAGUAACUCGAGAAUCGGCCAACUCGAGAAGCUCCAGUCAUUGGCCAAGCUCCGCGUACGCGGGAGCGAGAGACGGCGUGGGAUGGUUGAAUAAAAGAAUGAAGGAAAAACUGGAGGAAGAUAGAAAAUGAGAAAGGUGGACCCGAGGACUCAAGGUCGGGCGUAGAAACGGGCGCUGUCCUCUUAAGGGUGGUUAUGAUUCUGGGUGGUUUCGGCGGAACAACCCCAAGACUUGGAAGUUUGACGGAAGACGGUGGAUUCUGUUGCCGAUUCGUGCUCGCCGAAUAAACGUGCAAUUGGGUCGAGGCGACGUUCGGCUGAGACGAGUGUCGAAGAUUCCCAUCCUGAUUGCGACUUGGGAUUUGAGGAUUGGAGUACUGCCUCCGAUGCAAGGACUUGACAGCUAAAUUUUUCAUUGUCUUUGGGUAAGCAUCGUCCUUGCAGCGAUUGGCAAUAUUGGGCAAUUGCGUUAGGUAUCCGUCCGUUGAAUCUGCUUGGCUGACAUUCCGUUUACGCGGACAUCCUGCGAGCUGAGGAAUGGCUUAACCGGAAGCGCAUAUAUGGGAUCGCUGUAAAUAUUUCCGGUAUUCUCGGCCUUCUG